RNAcentral lists this ribosomal RNA (497 nucleotides) under Trichocomaceae sp. Its description in RNAcentral is "SSU rRNA". It matches the Rfam family "Eukaryotic small subunit ribosomal RNA", at positions 659 to 1160 of the family's 1831-position model. Lineage: Eukaryota; Fungi; Ascomycota; Eurotiomycetes; Eurotiales; Trichocomaceae. The record is from RNAcentral.
GGUCGCCUCACCGCGAGUACUGGUCCGGCUGGACCUUUCCUUCUGGGGAAUCCCAUGGCCUUCACUGGCUGUGGGGGGAACCAGGACUUUUACUGUGAAAAAAUUAGAGUGUUCAAAGCAGGCCUUUGCUCGAAUACAUUAGCAUGGAAUAAUAGAAUAGGACGUGCGGUUCUAUUUUGUUGGUUUCUAGGACCGCCGUAAUGAUUAAUAGGGAUAGUCGGGGGCGUCAGUAUUCAGCUGUCAGAGGUGAAAUUCUUGGAUUUGCUGAAGACUAACUACUGCGAAAGCAUUCGCCAAGGAUGUUUUCAUUAAUCAGGGAACGAAAGUUAGGGGAUCGAAGACGAUCAGAUACCGUCGUAGUCUUAACCAUAAACUAUGCCGACUAGGGAUCGGGCGGUGUUUCUAUGAUGACCCGCUCGGCACCUUACGAGAAAUCAAAGUUUUUGGGUUCUGGGGGGAGUAUGGUCGCAAGGCUGAAACUUAAAGAAAUUGACGGA